UCAUAUCUAGCUUGUGCCUUGUACUUUCUUCUUAUUGUGAUUUUAAAGCUGGUCAUAUGAUGCAAUUUCAAGUUUUCCUUUCUCUUUGGAGUGUUACAAGCUCUUGGUGCAUAAAGAAGAUCUGUAAAGUUGCAAAGACUAAAGUCUCAAAUCCAAAGAGAUAUUCUUUAUAAAAGUUUAGACUCGUCCACGCCCCCCUGAAACGUCUUGUUCUAACACGCCCCCACAUCUCUACGACACUGUGUGGGAAGAUUUGCAUCACUGCAUGAAAAGAGCUGUAUACGGACAAAUACGGGAUGGGAAAUCUCUGCUAAACUGUAGGUUUGCCAGAUAAAUGAGGCAGAGUGCUUGGAAAGAACGCUUUGUCUCGUCAGCUUGAGGGUUUGAUGGAGAAGCAAGCUGCAAACACUGUUCUUCUCGAAGAUGCUAUCCAGCGUCUUUGUGCUCUUGAGCGAAAGUUUGACGAGCAAAGACCGCAAGAGGAACAAAGACCGCGGGAAGAGCCAUUACAUAAAAGGAUAAAGAGGGCGCACAACGUGGGCAUUGCGGAAGCUGUAAGGCGCCUUCACAAUUCGGAAAACAACCCACAUAAAUAUGAUCCACAAACUGGAAUAAGUUCGCCUCGUAACCAAGCAGUCAUGACUUAUCUGCUAGAGGAAUUGAAAACAACUUUUGCAGAUGCAGACCCUGAGUGUAUACAAGCGUGUUGCAAGACAUACUUUGAAACACUUCGGAGAAAGUACAAUUUGUCUCAGCCAGAAAAGUCCCAGCUAAGAGAUGCCAUUAAAACAGGAGCUAAAAACCGACAAAGGAAAAGACGGUUGCUGGAUUCCAGGUCCAAGGUUGUUCAAACCGAUGCAGAGAGAGAGCUUUGGCAGACUGCAACAGUGGAGCUGAUGUCUGACGAGGAGGAUGCCAUUGUUGAUGGAAGGCCAGUGUGGAUUGUGAGGUCUCCAUCUCACAGGAACCCACAAUUGUCAGAACUUUGUGAGGAGCUUCAGCGCAGAUUGGAGGCAGACAUGCGCUACACUAUUUUGCAUCAUCAGCGUGUUAAGGCUGAUGGAAAUGGACAUGAUGGACCUUCCUUUCUUCAACUUUAACUAAACUGCACUGGUUUUGCAAUUUUAAUAAUUGCACCACAAACUGCACAUUUUCACUUAUUCUCUUCUAUUUUAUCUUAUUCUUUGUAUACUUAUUAGGUUAGAUUUAUUUAGUUUCAUAUUCUGCAACUUAUUUUCUUUUAAUAUUGUUUGUGUUUGCUGUGUUUGGUUACAUUUUAAAUACUUUGUGCUGUGUGUACAUAUUAAGUAGUUUAUUUAGUUUUAUAUUCUGUAACAGUAUAAUAUUGCUUGUGUUUAGUAAAAUUUUAUAAAAGUACUUUGCUUUGUGUACAUAUUAUUUAGUUUUAUAUUCUCUAACUGUUAUAAUAUUGCUUGUGUUUAGUAAAAUUUUAUAAAAGUACUUUGCUUUGUGUACAUAUUAUUUCGUUUUAUAUUUUGUAACUGUUAUAAUAUUGCUUGUGUUUGGUUAAAUUUUAUAAAAGUACUUUUUCCCCUGUACAGUUCCUAUAGUUUUAUUUAUAUAUUUAAUGCUUUAUUUAUAUAUUUAAUGCUUUAAGUGUUUUGGUUUAAUUUUAAUAAAAAGAAAUUCUGAAUCCA
Long non-coding RNA from Cyprinus carpio (common carp), 1658 nucleotides. NCBI's taxonomy places the organism in Eukaryota, Metazoa, Chordata, Actinopteri, Cypriniformes, Cyprinidae. The record is from Ensembl.